GACGAACGCUGGCGGCGUGCCUAAUACAUGCAAGUCGAGCGAAGUUUUUCUGGUGCUUGCACUAGAACAACUUCGCGGCGAACGGGUGAGUAACACGUAAAGAACCUGCCUCAUAGACUGGGACAACUAUUGGAAACGAUAGCUAAUACCGGAUAAAAGUAUUUCUCGCAUGAGAGAUAUUUAAAAGUUUGUUGUGCUAACACUAUGAGAUGGCUUUGCGGUGCAUUAGCUAGUUGGCGAGGUAAAGGCCCACCAAGACGACGAUGCAUAGCCGACCUGAGAGGGUGAUCGGCCACACUGGGACUGAGACACGGCCCAGACUCCUACGGGAGGCAGCAGUAGGGAAUCUUCCGCAAUGGGCGAAAGCCUGACGGAGCAACGCCGCGUGAGUGAAGAAGGAUUUCGGUUCGUAAAGCUCUGUUGUUAGGGAAGAAUGAAUGUGUAGUAACUAUACAUGUAAGAGACGGUACCUAACCAGAAAGCCACGGCUAACUACGUG
This 499-nucleotide ribosomal RNA is filed under the name uncultured bacterium. RNAcentral's name for it is "partial 16S ribosomal RNA". It matches the Rfam family "Bacterial small subunit ribosomal RNA", at positions 28 to 507 of the family's 1533-position model. The record is from RNAcentral.